UACGUAGGGGGCGAGCGUUGUCCGGAUUUAUUGGGCGGAAAGAGCGUGUAGGCGGCCAGGUAGGUCCGUUGUGAAAACUCGAGGCUCAACCUCGAGACGUCGAUGGAAACCAUCUGGCUAGAGUCCGGAAGAGGAGAGUGGAAUUCCUGGUGUAGCGGUGAAAUGCGCAGAUAUCAGGAAGAACACCUAUGGCGAAGGCAGCUCUCUGGGACGGUACUGACGCUGAGACGCGAAAGCGUGGGGAGCGAACAGG
RNAcentral lists this ribosomal RNA (253 nucleotides) under uncultured bacterium. RNAcentral describes it as "partial 16S ribosomal RNA". It matches the Rfam family "Bacterial small subunit ribosomal RNA", at positions 524 to 776 of the family's 1533-position model. The record is from RNAcentral.